Parelaphostrongylus tenuis is the source of this 71-nucleotide non-coding RNA. The record is from the annotation of a GenBank genome assembly. NCBI's taxonomy places the organism in Eukaryota, Metazoa, Nematoda, Chromadorea, Rhabditida, Metastrongylidae.
GAGUAGUGUAGUGGUAGAGCACGCGUCUCCGGAUAGGAUGAAACGCGGGUUCGACACCCGCCAGAGAGUCA